Non-coding RNA from Methanococcoides burtonii DSM 6242, 111 nucleotides. Lineage: Archaea; Methanobacteriati; Methanobacteriota; Methanomicrobia; Methanosarcinales; Methanosarcinaceae. The record is from Rfam.
UAUCCCUUCCAUUUGGGUUAAUCCUACUAUGACACGCGCCAAUGGUAACGUUGGGGUAUGAAGCUCAUAGGACAAUGUGGAGAAUCUCGAAAGUCUAAUUCGAAACAUCCA